This 253-nucleotide ribosomal RNA is filed under the name uncultured bacterium. RNAcentral's name for it is "partial 16S ribosomal RNA". It matches the Rfam family "Bacterial small subunit ribosomal RNA", at positions 524 to 776 of the family's 1533-position model. The record is from RNAcentral.
GACAGAGGGUGCAAGCGUUGUUCGGAAUUACUGGGCGUAAAGGGCGCGUAGGCGGUCCGCUAAGUUCGGCGUGAAAUCCCCUGGCUCAACUGGGGAACGGCGCUGGAUACUGGUGGACUUGAGUACCGGAGAGGAGAGUGGAAUUCCUGGUGUAGCGGUGAAAUGCGUAGAUAUCAGGAGGAACACCGGUGGCGAAGGCGGCUCUCUGGACCGAUAUUGACGCUGAGGAGCGAAAGCCAGGGGAGCAAACGGG